GCGGAUGUGGUGAAAUGGUAGACACUGCAAACUUAAAAUUUGCUGGCCCAGUGCCGUGCGGGUUCGAGUCCCGCCAUCCGCACCA
Molecule: transfer RNA, 85 nt
Filed under: Profundibacterium mesophilum KAUST100406-0324
Lineage: Bacteria; Pseudomonadati; Pseudomonadota; Alphaproteobacteria; Rhodobacterales; Roseobacteraceae
Description: tRNA-Leu
Rfam family: tRNA
About the family: Transfer RNA (tRNA) molecules are approximately 80 nucleotides in length.
Source: RNAcentral